CUUUUCUGGCGCUGGCUCCUCUUGGUCAGUGCGGUUUCGCCUUUAUGGUGGUGGAGUACGCCCAAGCUGUGGACAGCAAAUAACCCUGUACAAAGGGGAAUGGAGAUUGCCUCUAUCCACCUAGAUUCAUAAGAUGCCCUGAGGUGAUCUUGGCAUCACGGAAGGUAUGCACAUCACACCAUCAGCUUCAGAGAAUGGCAGCCAUUUAUUUGUCCCGUGGGUUUUUUUCCAGGGAACCAAUCUGCCCUUUUGAAGAAAAGACAGAGGUAGAAAGGAUGGUGGAGGACUACCUGGCAAACGGUUAUCAGAAUGGGAAAUGCAACCUAGAACCAAACGGUCAUCACUUCAGCAGGGUUUUUUGAAGAAUCAAAUAUUCAGUGGGAUACAAAUGACAAGAGGCUACAGUGGAUGGAAACUCUGUGACUGUAAGAAUUGUGGCGAGGUCUUCAGGGAACAAUUUUGCCUUAAGACACACAUGAGAGCUCAGAAUGGAGGGAACACUUCUGAGGGUAAUUGUUAUGGAAAAGACACCCUCGGUGUGCACAAGGAAGCCUCUAUUGGACGGGAGCUUUCCAAAUUUAAUCCAUGUGGAAAAGUCUUCACUCUAACUCCAGGUCUUGCU
RNAcentral lists this small RNA (622 nucleotides) under Pongo abelii (Sumatran orangutan). RNAcentral describes it as "processed transcript". Lineage: Eukaryota; Metazoa; Chordata; Mammalia; Primates; Hominidae. The record is from RNAcentral.